CUAAGUCCUUUAUAGAGGCAAUGUGAAGGCACUGUAACUAUGGAAACAUUAUAAAGCAGUUAUAAAUAUCAGCACACGCCGUACAACUAAAAUUACAUCCCAAGCACACUUAGCAUAGACGGCCUCUGGGACACUCUGUCAAUUUAUUUAGCUUCUAACACAAGAUUUAGGUAAACUACACAGAUAAUUAUGCACAAAUCAUAAAUGUAAACAAAUAUAUAUGCUUUUUAAUGGCGGUUUAUUUUUACUCAGAAAAAACCUGAGGUAAAAUGUUAAAAGGGUUACAUAUUAGGGCUAAUCAAAAACCUGAGGUAAAAAGUUGUUCAUGUUUGUUACAUAUUAUGAUUAUUGAAAACCUGAGGUAAAGUGUUUCAAUUAGCAGUAACAUAUUAUGAUUAUUGAAAACCUGAGGUAAAUGUUAAUUUAAGUUAGCAAUGUUAAAUGUUAGGACUAUUGAAACCCUGAGGUCAAAUGUUGUUUAAAUUAGCAAUGUUAUAUAUAAGGACUAUUAAAUCCCUGAGGUGAAAUGUUAUUUAAGUUAGCAAUGGUAUAUAUUAGGACUAUUAAAUCCCUGAGGUAAAAUGUCGCUUAAAUGAGCAGUUAUAUAUUAGGACUAUUGAAACCCUUAGGUAAAAUGUUGUUUAAAUUAGCAGUGUUGUAUAUUGGGACUAUUGAACCCCUGAGGUAAAAUGUUGUUUAAUUAGCAAUGUUAUAUAUUAGGACUAAUUAAAUCCCUG
Ictalurus punctatus (channel catfish) is the source of this 737-nucleotide long non-coding RNA. The record is from Ensembl. NCBI's taxonomy places the organism in Eukaryota, Metazoa, Chordata, Actinopteri, Siluriformes, Ictaluridae.